CAGUCGCCGCGGUAAUACGGAGGGUGCAAGCGUUAAUCGGAAUUACUGGGCGCAAAGCGCACGCAGGCGGUCUGACAAGUCAGAUGUGAAAUCCCCGGGCUUAACCUGGGAACUGCAUUUGAAACUGUCAGGCUGGAGUCUUGUAGAGGGGGGUGGAAUUCCAGGUGUAGCGGUGAAAUGCGUAGAGAUCUGGAGGAAUACCGGUGGCGAAGGCGGCCCCCUGGACAAAGACUGACGCUCAGGUGCGAAAGCGUGGGGAGCAAACAGGAUUAGAUACCCCGGUAGUCCCUGUCUCUUAUAC
Molecule: ribosomal RNA, 301 nt
Filed under: uncultured bacterium
Lineage: Bacteria
Description: partial 16S ribosomal RNA
Rfam family: Bacterial small subunit ribosomal RNA
Source: RNAcentral